RNAcentral lists this ribosomal RNA (468 nucleotides) under uncultured bacterium. RNAcentral's name for it is "partial 16S ribosomal RNA". It matches the Rfam family "Bacterial small subunit ribosomal RNA", at positions 28 to 507 of the family's 1533-position model. The record is from RNAcentral.
GACGAACGCUGGCGGCGUGCUUAACACAUGCAAGUCGAACGGAAAGGCCCUGCUUUUGUGGGGUGCUCGAGUGGCGAACGGGGGAGUAACACGUGAGUAACCUGCCUUAGCCUUUGGGAUAACUUCAGGAAACUGGGGCUAAUACCGGAAAGUAGCGCCUGCUGCACGGUGGGAGUUGGAAAGUUUCGGCGGAUGGGGUAGGACUCGCGGCUUAUCGGCCUGUCGGUGGGGUAGUGGGUUAGCAAGGCUUUGACGGGGAGCCGGCCGGAGAGGUUGACCGGCGACAUUGGGACGGAGAUAAGGCCCAGAAGCCUACGGGAGUCAGCAGUGGGGAGUAUUACACAAUGGGCGGAAGCCUGAUGCAGCGACGCCGGGUGCGGGAUGGCGGCCUUCGGGUUGUAGACCGCUUGCGGCUGUGACGAAGCGUGAGUGACGGUAAUGGGUAAAGAAGCACCGGCUAACUACGUG